UUUAGCUGUUUGCAGUAAGUCUUGCUGCUGCUUGCUGUUUGGGUCCACAUUGCUUUUAUGAGCUAUAACACUCUUUGAGAAGGUCUGUAGCUUCACUCCUUGAAGCCAGUGAGAUCACGAACUCACCAGGAAGAACGAACAAUUCCAGACGCGCCAUUUUAAGAGCUGUAAUACUCACCGUGAAGGUCUGCAGCUUUACUCCUGAGCCAGUAAGACCACGAACCCCACAGAAGGAAGAAACUCUGAACACGUCCGAAUGUCAGGAGGAACCAAGUCUGACCACACUGCUUUUAAGAACUGUAACACUCACUUCGAGGGUGCACGGCUUCAUUCUUGAAGUCAGUGAGACCAAGAACCCCCCAAUUCUGCACAGAAUAGGUCUUACAGCUGUAAUUCUGGGAACCCAAACCCUUUUCACCAGAAAAGGAAACCAAAAUCAUGGUAUUUUGAAGACCAGAGAUAUGAGUCUCCGUUGUUUGGCAUCCCACUGACCCCACAUCUGUUUCGCUGCUAAUGCUCUGCUGCCAGAACUAUCCAAGCUGCCUCCCUCUGGGCCCAGGGACUAUUGCUGAAGAGAUGACAUCUCUGUAUGUUACCCAGGCUGGACUGGAACUCUGGGCUCAAGCCAUCCUCCUGCCUCACCUCCUGAAGUGUUGGGAUUACAGGUAUGUGAAUCACUGCACCCUUCCUGAAUUUCCAUUUUUC
RNAcentral lists this long non-coding RNA (705 nucleotides) under Homo sapiens (human). RNAcentral describes it as "non-protein coding lnc-BASP1-2:2". The record is from RNAcentral. Lineage: Eukaryota; Metazoa; Chordata; Mammalia; Primates; Hominidae.